AUCGUCUAGACUCACAAUCACAAACGAUGUUUUGCCGGUCGCUGAUGCUAUUGACACGGUAGUGUACGAGCCCCUUUUUUAGAAACCGGAGCACAGAAACCCUUCCUCCAAACCGUGUUGGGCUGAGAAGACCUUCUGUAAAGUGUCCCUGUUCCUUCUUAUCUCUUCUCUCUGAUCCCCUGGACGCCGCGGUCAGAUAGGCCGACUGGGCUGGGCUUGGAUUGGUUUCUCGGGGUUCCAGUGCUGAUCGACAGCCAAUGGCGCUUCGGAACGGAUACUCCAUCAACGCCGCCCCGGCGGAGGAAAGCGAGGGGGCGGGCGAUAAGGAACCUCUGAUUGAGAUUGAAGCUGUGCCGCCGCAAUGCUGCUCGGCCCGCUACACCCUGGCCGUGCUGAUGUUCUUCGGAUUCUCCGUGGUCUACGGUCUCCGCGUCAACCUCAGCGUCGCCAUGGUGGCCAUGGUGAACACCACGGACGCCUCGCCGACGGCCAACCACUCCCUGGUGACCGCCUGCCCGCUGCCGAGGCCCGACAACAGCAGCGUGCCCGUGGUCCUCAUCGACACGGGACCCCAGUACCCGUGGGACGCUAAGACCCAGGGCUGGCUGCUGGGGGCCUUCUUCUUCGGGUACCUGUUCACCCAGAUCCCGGGGGGGUACCUGUCGGGCCACUACGGGGGCUCCCUGUUCCUGGGGGGGGGGGGUCCUGGGCACGGCGGCGCUCACCCUGCUCACGCCCCUGGCCGCCCAGGGGGGGGCCGAGGCGCUGUUCGCACUGAGGGCCCUGGAGGGCUUUGGAGAGGGCGUGACCUUCCCGGCCAUGAUGGCCAUGUGGGCGCGCUGGGCCCCGCCCCUGGAGCGGUCCACCCUGAUCAGCCUGUCGGCCUCGGGGGCCAGCUUCGGGGCCUUCGUGGCCCUGCCCCUCACCGCGCUCAUCUGCCAGACCCUGGGCUGGCCCGCCGUCUUCUACAUCUGUGGCAGUGGUGGUUGCCUGUGGGCGGUCUUUUGGUUCUUCCUUGUUUCUGACGACCCCCGCACCCAUCGACGAAUCAGCGAAGAGGAGAAGAAUUACAUCAUCAACUCCAUCGGACCUCAGGGGUCGCCCCACGGCUGGUCGGUGCCCCUGCUCAGCAUGGCUCUCUCAGGCCCCCUGUGGGCCAUCAUCCUCACCCAGAUGUGCGCCAACUGGUCCUACUACACCAUGCUGACCAGCAUGCCCACCUACAUGAACAACGUGCUGCACUUUGACCUGUCUUCGAAUGCCGCCCUGUCGGCGGUGCCCUUCCUGGGGGCGCUCUUCGUCUCCGUGCUCUCGGGCUUCCUGGCCGACCGGCUGAUCGAGAAGAGGACCCUCAGCACCACCGCCGUGCGCAAGCUCCUCACACUCAUAGGUCUCCUAGUGCCGGCGGUGUGUCUGGUUGCCGCGGGUUACGCGGGCUGCUGCGCCGUCCCGGCGGUCGCCUUGCUGUGCGUGUCGGCCACCGUGGGCGGGAUCAGCGCCGCCGGCGUCUUCAUCAACCAGAUCGACAUCGCCCCCCGGUACGCAGGUGUGUUGCUAGGGAUCACCAACACCUUCGGAACCAUCCCGGGGGUCCUGGCUCCCAUCGUCACCGGUUACCUCACCGAAGACCACACCCUGACAGGCUGGCGAAAUGUGUUCUGGGUUUCGGCGGGGGUCAACGCCUUAGGGGCCCUGAUCUUCACGUGCAUGGGGAGCGGGGUGAUCCAGACCUGGGCCCUGACGGAGGAGGAGAGGGCGGAGGAGGAGAGGGCCAAGAAGGAGAGGGGGGAGGAGGAGGUGAGGAGGAACGAAGGCGACCCGACGAUAGCCACAUAAAGGACAGCCGGAUGACCCGCUGGACUUCAUCACCACGGUGAUGGAGAAAGUGAUUAUGGACGGAUCAGUGAACCGCAGUGAACAGCCCCCCUCCUGGUCUUUUUUUAAGCAUUUUAAUCUAAAAAGAAAAAGUGCACUUUAAUGUUGGUUAAGAAACAAAGAGGGUGUGGGUGGUUCCACUCCACGUCAUUGAAGAGUAUGUGUUAAAUGUCUUUAUUCAUGCAAGCUUUUUCACAGGGAAAAGUGUGUUACAAGGCCCUCUUUUACAGAGCAAGUUGACCAACCUCAGAAGGAGAGACGUGGGUAGGAUAGGAGUGCAAUAGGGGGGCUAAAGCUUUUUCUGCCAAAGCCCUGCCAAAAGGUUCCCUGGGCAGAGGUACCUAAAGCUCUGAGCCAUACAACGGGGGACUCGAUUCCAGUUUUUAUAUAUUGCUUUUUUUUUCUUGCUUUUUUUUACAAAUGACCACAUAUGUCUCCUGUUAUUAUGAAAACUUGGAACCCACCUGACUUCCUCUCACAAACCCUCAGCGUGUGUGGUUCCCAACAUGUGCUAUGUUUCAUUCUCACAUCUGUCGGUACUCGAGCAACGGGACCAGCCCGACCGUCAGGUUUAAUACUCAGGUUUGUAUUCUCUGAUCCUUAAACUCAGGAGAAUUUGGGCCGUGUGGAUGGUCAAUGGAGGAAAUGAUACUCUGGAAUGUGGGAUUUCCGUAGAAGUAUAAUUCUGUAAGUUCACGUGCCUUUCUAUUGCUGCAUGUAUGAGGUUUGUAACCUCUGCGUUUGUUUGUAGAUGACCAAAUAAUACACCUUGUAGUUAAUAAAUCCCUCUUUUACUGUGACAUAAUUAACUUGCUCCUCUGCAGAAGUUUUCUAAAGGGACUCUGCCUCCACCCACUGUGAGGGUCUUAAUACACUCAUUACCUUAUUUGACUUUGUUCAAAAAUUGAUUCCAUUUGGGUAGCUGUAAUAAUGGGUGACUUCGGUCUGGUUACAUUUUCUGAUGGGAAAAAGGAUGACUCUACGAACUUUUGUUUCAUUACGUGGCUGACAAUGUUGAUAAAAAAGUCAUUUCAUGAUUGUGAAGAUUAAAUUAUGCUCUUCGAAGAAUAUAAUUAUUUUUCUACCUUUUUUAAAGUUUUAAAAUGUUUGUUUUAUAUUUUAUUAUUUUAUUUCUUCGGCUUCAAGUAAAAACUUCUAAACUUCUAAA
Non-coding RNA from Gadus morhua (Atlantic cod), 3043 nucleotides. Lineage: Eukaryota; Metazoa; Chordata; Actinopteri; Gadiformes; Gadidae. The record is from RefSeq and is a predicted model, not a curated record.